This 194-nucleotide ribosomal RNA is filed under the name uncultured Streptococcus sp. RNAcentral's name for it is "partial 16S ribosomal RNA". It matches the Rfam family "Bacterial small subunit ribosomal RNA", at positions 335 to 526 of the family's 1533-position model. Lineage: Bacteria; Bacillati; Bacillota; Bacilli; Lactobacillales; Streptococcaceae. The record is from RNAcentral.
ACUCCUACGGGAGGCAGCAGUAGGGAACCCUUCGCAUGGGCGAAAGCUGACGGAGCAACGCCGCGUGAGUGAUGAAGGUCUUCGGAUCGUAAAACUCUGUUAUUAGGGAAGAACAAAUGUGUAAGUAACUAUGCACGUCUUGACGGUACCUAAUCAGAAAGCCCGCUAACUACGUGCAGCAGCCGCGGUAAUAC